GGGGGUAUAGCUCAGUUGGUAGAGCGCCUGCUUUGCAAGCAGGAAGUCAUCGGUUCGAGUCCGUUUACCUCCACCA
RNAcentral lists this transfer RNA (76 nucleotides) under Clostridiales bacterium. Its description in RNAcentral is "tRNA-Ala". It matches the Rfam family "tRNA". Rfam says of the family: Transfer RNA (tRNA) molecules are approximately 80 nucleotides in length. Their secondary structure includes four short double-helical elements and three loops (D, anti-codon, and T loops). Lineage: Bacteria; Bacillati; Bacillota; Clostridia; Eubacteriales. RNAcentral also lists the same sequence under 2 other names. The record is from RNAcentral.